This 306-nucleotide ribosomal RNA is filed under the name Aeromonas veronii. Its description in RNAcentral is "partial 23S ribosomal RNA". It matches the Rfam family "Bacterial large subunit ribosomal RNA", at positions 2646 to 2925 of the family's 2925-position model. The record is from RNAcentral. Lineage: Bacteria; Pseudomonadati; Pseudomonadota; Gammaproteobacteria; Aeromonadales; Aeromonadaceae.
CGUGGGCGUUGGAUGAUUGAAGGGAGUUGCUCCUAGUACGAGAGGACCGGAGUGAACGAACCUCUGGUGUUCGGGUUGUCACGCCAGUGGCACUGCCCGGUAGCUAAGUUCGGAAUCGAUAACCGCUGAAAGCAUCUAAGCGGGAAGCGAGCCCUGAGAUGAGUCAUCCCUGACCCCUUGAGGGUCCUAAAGGGCCGUUGGAGACCACAACGUUGAUAGGUGGGGUGUGUAAGCGCGGCGACGUGUUGAGCUAACCCAUACUAAUUACCCGUGAGGCUUAACCAUACAACACCCAAGAAGUAUUCU